GACGAACGCUGGCGGCGUGCCUAAUACAUGCAAGUAGAACGCUGAAGGAGGAGCUUGCUUCUCUGGAUGAGUUGCGAACGGGUGAGUAACGCGUAGGUAACCUGCCUGGUAGCGGGGGAUAACUAUUGGAAACGAUAGCUAAUACCGCAUAAGAGUAGAUGUUGCAUGACAUUUGCUUAAAAGGUGCAAUUGCAUCACUACCAGAUGGACCUGCGUUGUAUUAGCUAGUUGGUGAGGUAACGGCUCACCAAGGCAACGAUACAUAGCCGACCUGAGAGGGUGAUCGGCCACACUGGGACUGGGACACGGCCCAGACUCCUACGGGAGGCAGCAGUAGGGAAUCUUCGGCAAUGGACGGAAGUCUGACCGAGCAACGCCGCGUGAGUGAAGAAGGUUUUCGGAUCGUAAAGCUCUGUUGUAAGAGAAGAACGAGUGUGAGAGUGGAAAGUUCACACUGUGACGGUAUCUUACCAGAAAGGGACGGCUAACUACGUG
This 495-nucleotide ribosomal RNA is filed under the name uncultured bacterium. Its description in RNAcentral is "partial 16S ribosomal RNA". It matches the Rfam family "Bacterial small subunit ribosomal RNA", at positions 28 to 507 of the family's 1533-position model. The record is from RNAcentral.